AAAAAAGAUUAAGAACAGCUUGACAGCUUGCCCUAAAACGAUGAGAUGUUGACACUGAGGUCACUUUUCUUAGCCAACAACUUCCUUCUUUCUUUUCUUUUUUUUUCAAAUUCAUUGCCACAAAACAGCAAGAAACACACCCAGGAAACUUAGCAUCAGUGCUAAGAUCUCUUAUAUAUUGACUGAGUCUAACGAAGUGUUAAAACCACCUCUGGAUCCAACUGUCAGGAUGCAGCUGCCAGGCUUGAUUGUUUUUAGUCUCAUGUUGGUUCCUGCCUGUAACUCAAAAGGUGAAAAAUGGAAUCUAACUGUCAGUAGAAAUAUCACUGCUGAAAAGGGCUCAAACAUUACCAUACCGUGCAACUUCACCUAUCCAUCAAAGCAUCACACGGACAAUGUUAGUGUCUACUGGAAAAAGUGGGGCCAAAGCUUAUGCAGCAAGAAUGACAAAGAUACUAAUGCAUUCAUUUAUCACCCGAAUGAGUUGUGUGUGGUUGAGAAGUACAGGAGAAGGACUUUACUCGAAGGGGAUAAAGCCAGAGGAAGCUGCUCCCUCAAAAUCUUAAACAUCACCAGCAAUGAAUUGGACAUCUACGUGAGAAUUUCUGUCAAAGGUGACAACUACAGCUUCAAAGGGAACUCUGUCUCUAUUUUUGUCAAAGGGUCAGGUUAUGAAGCAGUCACCUCAAACCCAGACAGUUUCUCAUCUUUCACCCUUGAAGACACGACAAUGGAGGUGAUCCUAAAUACUUCGACAACCAUGUAUUUGGCCAUCUUUAUACCUCUUGCUACACUUGUAAUCAUUCUUCUUGUGGCUGGAAUUUCCAUUAUCGCAAAACGCAGAAGGUCUCAGACUUUGACCAGGGAGGAAUCUGGAUACUACGUAAACUUCAGCAGAGCCUCCUCUAGCCCACCCAGUGAAUCAUGUUCUAAAAAAGACGUGAAUUGUCCUCAACCAAAAGUCAUUGAUGAUCCUGUCUACGCCAAUGUUCAGAACCCAACAGGUCAAAUGAACCAGAAUAUGGAUACCACGGACAACAUAUAUGUAAAUGUGGAUUAUUCAAAAUAGCACAAAUGCUGCACAACUGUACUUUAAUUUAUCAACUCUGAUAGCUGUCUUUAGUACAUUAGAAUCAGACUCCAGAUUUGGACAGUUUUACAUUGACAAUAACAAGGAAACAAUGUGAACAGAAGUAUUAUUCAUAUCAUGUUAGAACAAUGUAAAUAAUCCACUGCUUCUUAAAUGAUUUUUAGUUUCAUUCGUUCAUGGCUUUGUCAUUGUAUAAGCACAAUAAUUAGCUAGAUAGCAGAAUGUGGCUACUGCUGAUAAUGUUGGAGGAGAUGUGGGGGAUUCACUGAGUCACAAGACUCCACUGUUUGUAGUAGACAGUCCAAUGCAAACAGUACUGCCAGCCUGUUUACAUGCCUUCACCAGCAUGCAAAGCUUUCUAUCACUCAUUCAAUCUGCAUAAGCGUGUAAAUAUCUGAGCUUCCAAAGGUUGACAGCAGGCCUUCCACACAGCGCAGCUUGUAUUACCUGCCAGUGUCAGUGUUGCAGCACUGACUGUUGCAGGAAAUGAUGAUAAUAAGCCUUUAGCCCUUUGCAACGUUGAAGUUCUGUUUUCUGUGGAAUUUAUAAUGCAUGGUUAAUAGUUAAUAGCGUAUAUACAGCAGGCUGUAACAUGUUAAUCAGUUUUGCUCCUUUUUUUUAAACAAGAUUUAAUUUAUUGCCCCGUGAUAGCAUGUUAAAUUCAUAGACGUUACCAAAAAUAAAGCAUAAAAAGGUGAUCGUCUCUUGUCAGCAGUGUCCUUUUACACAGACAACUACAAAUCUGGGGGUAAGUGAUCUUAAACAUGACGUCAGUGGUCAAGUCCAGUUUUUAUCAGUUAGGGCAACUAGCCAAAGUGAAAGUCAUUGCUUUCUGGAUUUUAAUCCAUGCUUUUAUCACAUCUCAACUAGACUAUUGAUGUACAAGUUAUGUUGGGCAGAGUCAGACCUGCUUCAGCCUCCCUCAGGCCUCUCAGAUCUGUCUCUUUUAGCUGUUCCUGAGACAAAGAGGAGAGUGAGAGGUGAUCGUGCUGCCCCAGAACAAGUUGCCUCUGCAUAUCAGGCAGGCUGACUCGCUUCCUCUCCAAAAACACAUAUUUUCUCUUUUGCUUUAAACUCAGUUUUAAAUGUUGGCUUUUAAUGUUUUAAUGUUUCAUUGUUUUAAUUUUUUAUAUGUUUUUCAUUCUUUUAUGUGUUUUAUAUGUUCUUAUAUAUUUCUACAGCCCUUUGGCCAGC
Molecule: long non-coding RNA, 2284 nt
Organism: Parambassis ranga (Indian glassy fish)
Lineage: Eukaryota; Metazoa; Chordata; Actinopteri; Ambassidae
Source: Ensembl